RNAcentral lists this long non-coding RNA (1519 nucleotides) under Camarhynchus parvulus. RNAcentral describes it as "lncRNA (ENSCPVG00000017230.1)". Lineage: Eukaryota; Metazoa; Chordata; Aves; Passeriformes; Thraupidae. The record is from RNAcentral.
UCUUUGCUACACAGCUUUCCUCAUAGCUGUGGGACUUUGCAAGACUCUGUUGCAGAACUUCUCUUCGUCUUGAGUAAUGUAUUUUCUGGAAACCCAUGUGAUUACUGUCCAGUUGUAAAGUGCCAUUCCCUUGGAAAGCAAAUAAAGGAUCUCCAGGGAAGGUCCAGCAAGCUGUUGAUGCUACAGACCUACCAUGACAAAGAUGAACAGCUGAGGAGUUUCUUAGCAAGCAGGAAAGUGGUGAGCAGCAAGAAGAAAAUCAAGCUCUUGCAUAACAAUACGGGGCAAUUUUUAUUCCAUUUUGAUUUUGCUGUGAGGAUAUUGUGAACUGUAAAGAAUUACUGUAAGUUGUGUGAAAUUCACUGUUGUGUUGAACAGCACAUUAAACUCAAUUACCUAACAUUUUAUUGUGUUAUGUCAAUGUUUAAGUGUGUGGAGUGGAUUAUUUCCCUGAAAGAGUCUGUACAGAGUUCUCUGAGAGGCAACAAAAGAAGACAAGCUGAAGUGCUCAUGGUUUUGCUAAACUUAGUCAGAAUUUAAUAACUUUUUGUAGGUUAUUUUAAUGACUGAGUUCCUUACAUUUUAUUUAAAACUCAGAAGGGCUAAGAUAGAAACAAUAUUCUGGUGUCAGUUACAGCAUCAAGUGUGCUUCCAUCUGAAUGUGUUUCUUGGAAUGCUUCUCUUUAGGGAACAAAUGUAACAUAUCCCAUAUAUUGGAAGGCAUUUGUGCAGGUGAUUGGUGUCCUGGAAAAUGAUGGAUAAAAAUGCUGGACUGUAGAUUGCGUUGCUGCCUUUGAAAAAAUGAGUAAUUGAGAUGAGCUACUCUGGUGCUUAUCUAAAAUCUUCUGUGAUUGAAUCAUUUGAUGUCUUGCUUUGCUUUUGAUAGUACAAAAGCUGAUACAUGAGCUGAUAAGUGAUGCAUCAAUUAUUUUCUUCUGUAACAGAGACGAAAUAAGUGCAGUACUUUCAGUAACUGAAGUUCUACAGAACGGUGUUGGUGGUUCUGAAUGUUUUGUAGUUACCAAGUGUGAGUAAUCCUGGAGAGGUUUUGAACCAAGAAGCUGAAGUUGGUACAGCAUUCAGGGUAUUCAGUGUAUGGUUAUCAGAAGCACAGAAACUUCCAGUGUUCUGAUUUGAACUUUUUUUUUUUAACCACACACUUGCAUAAGCUUUCAGGUCUUGAUCUUACAGUAUUCAAGCCAGCUGGGCUUUCCCACCAACUUACACUAGAACAGCCUCUCUGUGGGGAGAAAUUCCCCUAAUUAGAUCAUUAUACUCUGCAUUCAGUUUUUUAAAUGAGCUACUUCACUGGGUGUAAGAAACUGCUGUUGCACUUAAAUAUUGACUUGAUGCUUUUGAAGUAUCUGAAUUCAAUGUUGCUUUAUGAACAAUAGAUUUUACUCUAAAUGUUGUACAGAUAGAUUAAAAAAAAAAAAGUUGAGAAGUUGAGACUUUCUCAAAAUGAAAAUGCCACUUCUUCUGUAUUUGUGUUCUGUACCUUUCAGAUUUUUCUUUGACC